AUGAAUUCAACUAAGUUUCACAUGGUUGAAGUUGAAAGAACCAAGCAGUAUGAGGUGUUCAAGUCACCAACUCAAGCACUAUUUGAGUAUAACCCCAGAACUUUCAUAGUCAUGGUGGACAGAGACUCUGAAACUUUCACAUGCAUAUGUGGAAAAUUUAAAAAGGACGGCAUACUAUGCUGUCAUGCACUCAAAGUGAUGCAAGCAUUGAACAUUGAUGAGGUAGCAAAAAAAUAUUUCAUAGAUAGAUGGAGACCUAAAGAAAAGAAAUCAGAACAAAUAAGUGAAGAAGUCACAAACCUCCAUGAUCAGAUGGCUUUCUUCUCAUUCUCAAGAAGGCUCACUGAGUUAGCUUCUCAAGCGUCAAAAAAUCCUGCAAGGAGGAAAGUUCUGAGUGAGCAGAUAACCAAUUUAGAGAAAUUAAUUUUGGCCAUACCUUGCAUGCCAGAAGGUGAGGAACCAAAGAGUUUUUCGUCAGAAGUAGCAUCUGUCACUGCAGGAGUUUUGAGCUUGGGUAGCAAUUCUGAAUACACACUAAAGGAUCCAGUACACACAAAACCAAAAGGAAGAAUGAAGAAAACAGGAAGGCAAAAGAGCAUAGUUGAGGAAAUUCUAGCCAAACCAAAAAUGGCUUGCUCUGGAUGUGGCAAACAAGGUCACAGGAUAACUGGAUGUAAGCAAAUAGAAGAGGAUGCAACACAGAAAAUUAGAAGAGAGCUAGUAAGGAAAGCAUUGCAUUAA
This 741-nucleotide ribosomal RNA is filed under the name Triticum aestivum (bread wheat). RNAcentral's name for it is "partial small subunit ribosomal RNA". Lineage: Eukaryota; Viridiplantae; Streptophyta; Magnoliopsida; Poales; Poaceae. The record is from RNAcentral.